Molecule: small nucleolar RNA, 87 nt
Organism: Mustela putorius furo (domestic ferret)
Lineage: Eukaryota; Metazoa; Chordata; Mammalia; Carnivora; Mustelidae
Source: Ensembl
AGCAAAUGAUGACUUUUUCUCAUGACGGGCUGCAGACACCACUGUGCGCAGCAGUGGUAACACCAACGGCUCAGCCGAUGCCAGGAA